Molecule: ribosomal RNA, 440 nt
Filed under: uncultured bacterium
Lineage: Bacteria
Description: bacterial SSU rRNA
Rfam family: Bacterial small subunit ribosomal RNA
Source: RNAcentral
CCUACGGGAGGCAGCAGUAGGGAAUAUUGGACAAUGGGCGAAAGCCUGAUCCAGCCAUGCCGCGUGAGUGACGAAGGCCUUCGGGUUGUAAAGCUCUUUUGGCGGGGACGAUAAUGACGGUACCCGCAGAAUAAGCCCCGGCUAACUUCGUGCCAGCAGCCGCGGUAAUACGAAGGGGGCUAGCGUUGUUCGGAAUCACUGGGCGUAAAGCGCACGUAGGCGGACUUUCAAGUCAGGGGUGAAAUCCCGGAGCUCAACUUCGGAAUUGCCUUUGAUACUGUAGGUCUCGAGUCCGGAAGAGGUGGGUGGAAUUCCUAGUGUAGAGGUGAAAUUCGUAGAUAUUAGGAAGAACACCGGUGGCGAAGGCGGCCCACUGGUCCGGUACUGACGCUGAGGUGCGAAAGCGUGGGGAGCAAACAGGAUUAGAUACCCCAGUAGUC